This 467-nucleotide ribosomal RNA is filed under the name uncultured bacterium. Its description in RNAcentral is "partial 16S ribosomal RNA". It matches the Rfam family "Bacterial small subunit ribosomal RNA", at positions 28 to 507 of the family's 1533-position model. The record is from RNAcentral.
GAUGAACGCUGGCGGCGUGCUUAACACAUGCAAGUCGAACGAUGAUGCCCAGCUUGCUGGGUGGAUUAGUGGCGAACGGGUGAGUAACACGUGAGUAACCUGCCCUUGACUCUGGGAUAAGCCUGGGAAACUGGGUCUAAUACCGGAUACGACCAUCUGGCGCAUGUCAUGUUGGUGGAAAGCUUUUGUGGUUUUGGAUGGACUCGCGGCCUAUCAGCUUGUUGGUGGGGUAAUGGCCUACCAAGGCGACGACGGGUAGCCGGCCUGAGAGGGUGACCGGCCACACUGGGACUGAGAAACGGCCCAGACUCCUACGGGAGGCAGCAGUGGGGAAUAUUGCACAAUGGGCGCAAGCCUGAUGCAGCGACGCCGCGUGAGGGAUGACGGCCUUCGGGUUGUAAACCUCUUUCAGUAGGGAAGAAGCGAAAGUGACGGUACCUGCAGAAGAAGCGCCGGCUAACUACGUG